RNAcentral lists this ribosomal RNA (433 nucleotides) under uncultured bacterium. RNAcentral's name for it is "partial 16S ribosomal RNA". It matches the Rfam family "Bacterial small subunit ribosomal RNA", at positions 29 to 507 of the family's 1533-position model. The record is from RNAcentral.
AACGAACGCUGGCGGCAUGCCUAACACAUGCAAGUCGAACGAAGCCUUCGGGCUUAGUGGCGCACGGGUGCGUAACGCGUGGGGAUCUGCCCCUUGCUUCGGAAUAACAGUUAGAAAUGACUGCUAAUACCGGAUGAAGUCUUCGGACCAAAGAUUUAUCGGCAAGGGAUGAGCCCGCGUAGGAUUAGGUAGUUGGUGGGGUAAAGGCCUACCAAGCCGACGAUCCUUAGCUGGUCUGAGAGGAUGAUCAGCCACACUGGGACUGAGACACGGCCCAGACUCCUACGGGAGGCAGCAGUGGGGAAUAUUGGACAAUGGACGCAAGUCUGAUCCAGCAAUGCCGCGUGAGUGAUGAAGGCCUUAGGGUUGUAAAGCUCUUUUACCAGGGAUGAUAAUGACAGUACCUGGAGAAUAAGCUCCGGCUAACUCCGUG